GGUGGUAUGGCGGAAUUGGUAGACGCUACAUUGCGGUAGAUGGUACUGGACAGGACGCCGAGGAGGCUCUCGACAGAUCAGUCGCUAAACCCAUCGUUGCAGGUUCAAAUCCUGCUACCACCA
This 123-nucleotide transfer RNA is filed under the name Caudoviricetes sp. RNAcentral describes it as "tRNA-OTHER". It matches the Rfam family "tRNA". From Rfam's summary of the family: Transfer RNA (tRNA) molecules are approximately 80 nucleotides in length. Their secondary structure includes four short double-helical elements and three loops (D, anti-codon, and T loops). Further hydrogen bonds mediate the characteristic L-shaped molecular structure. tRNAs have two regions of fundamental functional importance: the anti-codon, which is responsible for specific mRNA codon recognition, and the 3' end, to which the tRNAs corresponding amino acid is attached (by aminoacyl-tRNA synthetases). tRNAs cope with the degeneracy of the genetic code in two manners: having more than one tRNA (with a specific anti-codon) for a particular amino acid; and 'wobble' base-pairing, i.e. permitting non-standard base-pairing at the 3rd anti-codon position. The record is from RNAcentral. Lineage: Duplodnaviria; Heunggongvirae; Uroviricota; Caudoviricetes.